UGGGGAAUAUUGGACAAUGGGGGAAACCCUGAUCCAGCAAUGCCGCGUGAGUGAAGAAGGCCUUAGGGUUGUAAAACUCUUUCACCCGUGAAGAUGAUGACGGUAGCGGGAGAAGAAGCUCCGGCUAACUCCGUGCCAGCAGCCGCGGUAAUACGGAGGGGGCUAGCGUUGCUCGGAAUUACUGGGCGUAAAGCGCGCGUAGGCGGUGGUUCUAGUUAGAUGUGAAAGGCCUGGGCUUAACCUAGGAACUGCAUUUAAUACUGGAUCGCUAGAAUCCGAGAGAGGGUAGUGGAAUUCCCAGUGUAGAGGUGAAAUUCGUAGAUAUUGGGAAGAACACCAGUGGCGAAGGCGGCUACCUGGCUCGGUAUUGACGCUGAGGUGCGAAAGCGUGGGGAGCAAACAGGAUUAGAUACCCCCGUAGUCC
RNAcentral lists this ribosomal RNA (424 nucleotides) under uncultured prokaryote. Its description in RNAcentral is "bacterial SSU rRNA". It matches the Rfam family "Bacterial small subunit ribosomal RNA", at positions 355 to 796 of the family's 1533-position model. The record is from RNAcentral.